Molecule: long non-coding RNA, 3389 nt
Organism: Ananas comosus (pineapple)
Lineage: Eukaryota; Viridiplantae; Streptophyta; Magnoliopsida; Poales; Bromeliaceae
Exons: 5
Source: RefSeq, a predicted model, not a curated record
UCCAUCACCCCCUCAACCACUUCUCUCCCUCACCCCCUCCUUCUCCUCAAACCCAAGGCGACCAUGGCCACCACGGCGGCGGCGACGACGACGACGACCCCUUCCUCCCCACCAGCUUCAUCAUCGCCUUCUCCGCCUGGACCCUCGAGCCAGCCCCAGUCUUCGCCCGCUUCGCCCUCUCCUUCUCUGGCCACCUCGCCGAGCUCGAGCGCGACCUCCUCGGUGGCGCGGUGGCGCGGCGACGGAGGAGGAGGAGGAGGAGAAGGCGGUGGCGGCGCGGAUCCCUCCGGGCCGCUCGUCUCCGUCGACAACCUCCGAGCCUACCUGCAAAUCAUCGACGUCGCCUCCAUUCUAGGGCUCAAUCACGACAUCGCCGGUCACGCCUUUGAGCUCUUCAAGGACUGCUCCUCCGCCACUUGCUUGAGGAAUCACAGUGUCGAGGCCCUCACUACCAAUUUACGGCAUGUGCAGAGCGAGAUGCUGCAGGAUUCCAAUAUCUCAAAAUUCAAGUCAAGUACAAAGCUCUCAGGUAUUUAGCAUCAGAACACGGAAACUCAUAAUUUGUUAUCAUCUAAAUCUAUAUACAGUAAUGAUGCUCGACAUUAGUCUAACAUAUGUUUUUUUAUUGGUUUACGGACGGAUGCUUAUAUCAGUGUGACAUGUUACCGUCUCUUUCUAUGCGGUCACCACUAGAUUGCAUCACAAACUUCAUUAACUAGGUAGUGACAUCCAAAUUGAUUUCUUAAAGAAUUUCUCUGUUGUUUAUUAGAUCCCCUGGUAUUAAAUCGAAGAAUAGGCUUUUUCUGUUCAGUUUUGACCGUGAGUUUAGAGGAUAGUACUGAAUGACAAUAUAAAAUGGUUUCUUGUUGCGUUGCUAAACUUUUUGAAGGUCCACAAUCCAUCAAGAGGAUAAUGCAAAAUCUAAUUGACGAACAUUGGAUUAAAACUAACAAGCAUGAAGUUCUUCAAUAUUUGUUUUGUUUUUAAGAACAAGCAUCUCAUUUGGGCAUAACUCUCUCUUAUGUUCCAAUUAUUUAGUCCACAAUUGCUGAAACAACUAUAUGUAUUACUGGAAGCCAUUGUUACAUCUGUCUCACUGCGAUUUGAUGGUAUAACUAGAUCAUUGAAAGCUCAAUAUAGGCUUCAGUGUAGGCUUAUUGAGUUUAGUUUUGGCUAUUUUUAGAGUUUCAGGUUCUGGUUUCUGAUGUUGGUGAAAAAUUACUAAGCUUUUCAAAAGAUAAAUAUUAGAUAGGAAGAAUUGAAAUAAUCAUAUUCUCAGAAAAUAGUUGCUUUAGAGUUUCCGAAAAGUAGGUUAACUUGUAUUAGACUGCUUUCUGGGAACACUAAAUUCUAUUGAUUUUUCAGGGUUUUUUUUAGUUCAGGUAUUGCUAAAUGGUCGAAGAACUGCUAAACAAUUUUGAGAGGAAAGAGAUGAAAUUGAAACUACCAGAAUGACAUCGCAAAUUAAAAGAGUUGUUAAAGAAUUAAUUAUCUCACUGUUCGUUGAUUUUAUAUUGGACCAAGUAGCUAAUGACAAUGUAAUCGUAGUGGAUAUAUAAUUCUACUAUUAGCUAAAUUACCUUCACUUUUGCUCAAACUCUUUUCCUGAUAGGAAUUCUAGUGCUACUCUGAAGGGGACUGAUAGUUCAACACUAAAGCUUGCCCAUGAUCAGAGAGCUUCUGUUUCAUCAGAGGCUGCAUUUUCUGCAUCUCAUUUGGGCAUAACCUGCCUUGGCAUAUCAAUUAGUCGAAUUUAUUAUAUGAGCUGAAUUUGAAUAGUUCAUGCGGUUGAUGAAUCUCUUUGGAUUUUCUUCUUUUGGCUGAGAUCUUGAUAGGUUGGAAACGAACCUAUCUUCAUCUUUUACUAAUUAGAAGCUUACUUGGGCCAAGUGAGAGGUUAGUGGAAAAUAAAUUCUUGGUUCUAAGUGAGUUUGCAACCGAUUUGGCUCGAUGCUGAAAUUUGGUUCUUAAUCUAAGUUCAACUCCUUAUGGGCUGAAAAAUUACUCAUUUAUUUUGGAUGAUUAUAGUGUUUUGACUGAAGAGCACCCUUGCGACUUUCCCUCUCAUCCCUCUUUCUGUGUUCCUUGCUGGUUUGGUCCCUGCACAUCUAGCAAACAACAGCAGCAGCAGCAUCAAGUGCUGCCAGCUGCUUCACUGCAGCAGUGAAGCUGGCAGCAGAGUGGUUAUUAGUCAGAGGAGAUGAUAUAUUGUGCAAUUGGUGAAGUUUUGAAGUUCCACCUUCAAAAUUAAAGGCUUGUACUUGUGUGGGGGGAUGUUGAGAGGCUAUUUAUACCUUUCUUGAGCUGAAAAUCGGGAUCCGAGCUUUGGGAGGAUUGGGAGUGAUCUUGACUUCAUUAUCUAGUGAUUUGAAUUUUGUUUGGACUAAUUUGGAGGUAAGAUGAAUAAGAAUUUUAGUUUUCUUCGAGGUCGAAAACUGUUUUUAUGUCGAAGUUGAAUUAUUGACCUCUAUUUCCUAAUUGCAGUGGAAUUUCGUAGUGAAUUAUAGAUUUUUCUUAUAGUAUAGAAGUCAAAGAUCACUCGUGGAUCGCCCCCUAGCCUUGUCUUGCGCUGGAUUUUCUUGUGAAGCAAGAAAUUCGCAGCACCAAGGUGCAGUCCAGCAGUUACUACAGUGCAUCUCAGCGGAGGCCACUGAACUUGAGGGUGAAAUGGAUGCAUUUUGACGUUUCAAGAUAUGAUAAAUUGGAACCUACUCUUGGACUACUUGAUUGUAAGAAGCAAGAGGAGCAAGUUAUUUAGCCGAAUUGUUGUCUAAUUGAGCUUCAAUUGAGGGGAUUCUAGCUGAUUCCUGCCUAAAUUCUAGCUAAUUCGAAGAUGCCCCAAGCCGGAUUGUAAGAGGAAAUUCCUUGAAACGAGUCGAAGCUACGACUCAGUGCAGAGUUUACAUACGCAGGCGGGGUUCGGUAAAAGACUCUUUAAAGGAAGACAAUCUAAGAGAUAAACCUGGUUAUGAACACCUGAAUGAUCCAUUACAUGUGCUUGUCGAGGCCGAGUUCCCUGCAGAUAUAAUCGAUGCGAGAUUGAACCAAGCUGUGGCGAUAUUAGAGGAUUCUGGGGCAACACAAAAGGUUUGUGCUUCUUUCUUGAUCAGUAACGAAAUUCUUCAAUAGCAAGAAUGUAUCAAUGAUAUAACAAAACUGAAUUUCCUGAAAAUGCUCUGCAAGUUCACCACACAAUUCUUUGCGCAUAAAAUGUCACUAGAAACUGAAACUAAGCUGCUAUCUGAAUGUUAACAUGACAUUCGUAAUUUCCGCCUAUUAGCUUGAGAAGGUACCAUGUUCUCCAUACUAUCUCAGUUUUCUGCUCUAAUAAUGCGAAAGGGAGACGCAUAAAUAUUCAAGUACUUGGAAAUCUACUUUUUUUUCUUUCA